GAUCAUGGCUCAGAACGAACGCUGGCGGCAGGCCUAACACAUGCAAGUCGAACGCGUGCCUUCGGACACGAGUGGCGGACGGGUGAGUAACGCGUGGGAAUUUGCCUUGGGGUACGGAAUAACCGCGGGAAACUGCGGCUAAUACCGUAUACGUCCUUCGGGAGAAAGAUUUAUCGCCCCAAGAUGAGCCCGCGUCCGAUUAGGUAGUUGGUGAGGUAACGGCUCACCAAGCCUUCGAUCGGUAGCUGGUCUGAGAGGAUGAUCAGCCACACUGGGACCGAGACACGGCCCAGACUCCUACGGGAGGCAGCAGUGGGGAAUAUUGGACAAUGGGGGAAACCCUGAUCCAGCCAUGCCGCGUGAGUGAAGAAGGCCUUAGGGUUGUAAAGCUCUUUCGGUGGUGACGAUGAUGACUGGUAGCCACAGAAGAAGCCCCGGCUAACUCCGUGCCAGCAGCCGCGGUAACUACGGAGGGGGCAAGCGUUGUUCGGAAUUACUGGGCGUAAAGCGGCGCUGUAGGCGGAUGAUCAAGUCAGAGGUGAAAGCCCUGUGGCUCAACCUAGGAGGUGCCUUUGAAACUGAUUGUCUUGA
This 591-nucleotide ribosomal RNA is filed under the name uncultured bacterium. RNAcentral's name for it is "bacterial SSU rRNA". It matches the Rfam family "Bacterial small subunit ribosomal RNA", at positions 15 to 645 of the family's 1533-position model. The record is from RNAcentral.